Molecule: ribosomal RNA, 775 nt
Filed under: uncultured Neocallimastigales
Lineage: Eukaryota; Fungi; Neocallimastigomycota; Neocallimastigomycetes; Neocallimastigales
Description: partial large subunit ribosomal RNA
Rfam family: Eukaryotic large subunit ribosomal RNA
Source: RNAcentral
GAGACUCUGUGCGCGUGCAUAUCAAUAAGCGGAGGAAAAGAAACUAACAAGGAUUCCCUUAGUAACGGCGAGUGAAGUGGGAAGAGCUCAAAUUUGAAAUCUUCAAGGUUCUACCUUGACGAAUUGUAGUUUAUAGAAGUGUUUUCUGUUAGUAGAGUGGCAAAAGUUCUUUGGAAUAGGACAUCAUAGAGGGUGAGAAUCCCGUAUUUGACCGUUACUUUCCAGCUGUGUGAUACACUUUCAAAGAGUCGGAUUGUUUGGGAAUGCAGUCCAAAAUGGGUGGUAAAUUUCAUCUAAAGCUAAAUAUUGGCGAGAGACCGAUAGCGAACAAGUACCGUGAGGGAAAGAUGAAAAGAACUUUGAAAAGAGAGUUAAACAGUACGUGAAAUUGUCAAAAGGGAAGCGUUUGACACCAGUGUUGUUUAGUUGAAAAUCAAUUCAAUAAUUUUUGAUUUUAAGUAGUAUUGACUUCAUCAGCUUGCUGCUUUCUUUUCAGGAAUUAUUGAAUGCACUUUUCAGUUAACAAGUCAACAUCAAUUUCUUUUGUUGUAAAAGGGUAAGAGGAAGGUGGCUUACGCUUCGGCGUAAGUGUUUAUAGCCUUUUACCUCUGCAAUCGGAGAGAUUGAGGACAGCAGCGUAGACUCUUCGGGGUUAGAUACACUUGUGCUAAGCUAUAGCCUUGUAUAGACAACUUGUUGACUAUGCUCAGUCAUGUAGCUUACUCGCUUGUGCUAUUUUACCUACGCUUAGGAUGUUGAACUCUAUCACACACAG